CCUACGGGUGGCAGCAGUGAGGAAUAUUGGUCAAUGGCCGGAAGGCUGAACCAGCCAUGCCGCGUGAAGGUCAGUGCUCUUUGGGCGUUAAACUUCUUUUGUGCGGGAGCAAUAAUGGUCACGUGUGGCCAGACGAGAGUACCGUAAGUAUGAGCAUCGGCUCACUCCGUGCCAGCGGCCGCGGUAAUACGGUGGAUGCAAGCGUUAUCCGGAUUUAUUGGGUGUAAAGGGUACGUAGGCUGUGAGGUAAGUCAGCGGUGAAAUGCCCCGGGUCAACGGGGUGAAGUGCCAUUGAUACUGCCUUGCUGGAAUGCGGAUGCGGUGAGAGGAAUGUGUGGUGUAGCGGUGAAAUGCAUAGAUAUCA
Molecule: ribosomal RNA, 364 nt
Filed under: uncultured bacterium
Lineage: Bacteria
Description: partial 16S ribosomal RNA
Rfam family: Bacterial small subunit ribosomal RNA
Source: RNAcentral